GGCUCAGAUUGAACGCUGGCGGCAGGCCUAACACAUGCAAGUCGAACGGUAACAGGAAACAGCUUGCUGUUUCGCUGACGAGUGGCGGACGGGUGAGUAAUGUCUGGGAAACUGCCUGAUGGAGGGGGAUAACUACUGGAAACGGUAGCUAAUACCGCAUAACGUCGCAAGACCAAAGAGGGUGACCCUCGGGCCUCUUGCCAUCGGAUGUGCCCAGAUGGGAUUAGCUUGUUGGUGGGGUAACGGCUCACCAAGGCGACGAUCCCUAGCUGGUCUGAGAGGAUGACCAGCCACACUGGAACUGAGACACGGUCCAGACUCCUACGGGAGGCAGCAGUGGGGAAUAUUGCACAAUGGGCGCAAGCCUGAUGCAGCCAUGCCGCGUGUAUGAAGAAGGCCUUCGGGUUGUAAAGUACUUUCAGCGGGGAGGAAGGGAGUAAAGUUAAUACCUUUGCUCAUUGACGUUACCCGCAGAAGAAGCACCGGCUAACUCCGUG
Molecule: ribosomal RNA, 497 nt
Filed under: uncultured bacterium
Lineage: Bacteria
Description: bacterial SSU rRNA
Rfam family: Bacterial small subunit ribosomal RNA
Source: RNAcentral